AGAGUUUGAUCAUGGCUCAGGAUGAACGCUAGCNGCAGGCCUAACACAUGCAAGUCGAACGGUAACAGGAAAGAGCUUGCUUUUUUGCUGACGAGUGGCGCACGGGUGCGUAACGCGUAUACAAUCUACCUUUUACAGAGGGAUAGCCCAGAGAAAUUUGGAUUAAUACCUCAUAGUAUUUUUAAUCGGCAUCGGUUAAGAAUUAAAGUUUCGGCGGUAAAAGAUGAGUAUGCGUUCUAUUAGUUAGAUGGUGUGGUAACGGCACACCAUGGCUACGAUAGAUAGGGGCCCUGAGAGGGGGAUCCCCCACACUGGUACUGAGACACGGACCAGACUCCUACGGGAGGCAGCGGUGAGGAAUAUUGGACAAUGGGCGCAAGCCUGAUCCAGCCAUGCCGCGUGCAGGAAGACUGCCCUAUGGGUUGUAAACUGCUUUUAUACAGGAAGAAAUACUGCUACGUGUAGCAGCUUGACGGUACUGUAAGAAUAAGGAUCGGCUAACUCCGUGCCAGCAGCCGCGGUAAUACGGAGGAUCCAAGCGUUAUCCGGAAUCAUUGGGUUUAAAGGGUCCGUAGGUGGAUAAUUAAGUCAGAGGUGAAAUCCUGCAGCUCAACUGUAGAAUUGCCUUUGAUACUGGUUAUCUUGAGUUAUUAUGAAGUAGUUAGAAUAUGUAGUGUAGCGGUGAAAUGCAUAGAUAUUACAUAGAAUACCAAUUGCGAAGGCAGAUUACUAAUAAUAUACUGACACUGAUGGACGAAAGCGUGGGGAGCGAACAGGAUUAGAUACCCUGGUAGUCCACGCCGUAAACGAUGGUCACUAGCUGUUCGAACUUCGGUUUGAGUGGCUAAGCGAAAGUGAUAAGUGACCCACCUGGGGAGUACGUUCGCAAGAAUGAAACUCAAAUGAAUUGACGG
This 914-nucleotide ribosomal RNA is filed under the name uncultured bacterium. Its description in RNAcentral is "bacterial SSU rRNA". It matches the Rfam family "Bacterial small subunit ribosomal RNA", at positions 8 to 916 of the family's 1533-position model. The record is from RNAcentral.